GUCUACGGCCAUGCCACUCUGAACAAGCCCGAUCCCAUCUCAUCUCGGAAGCUAAGCAGGGUCGGGCCUGGUUAAUACUUGGAUAGCAGACCACUUAGGAAGACCAGGUGCUGUAGACC
Molecule: ribosomal RNA, 119 nt
Organism: Pteropus vampyrus (large flying fox)
Lineage: Eukaryota; Metazoa; Chordata; Mammalia; Chiroptera; Pteropodidae
Source: Ensembl